CAUUCGUCUGCUGUUCUUUACACAGAAAAGAUGGACAUAGAAGAGAUUCCAAAGAAAACUCUCUUUCUCCUUUCAUUUCCACUCAGGAAUCUUCCUAAUUUCAUCACAACAGUCUUUGGGACUCUAAUAUAGAAGACACAUUUUGUUGAUUCAUUUAUUAGUGUCUUUGCUUCACUGAGAUACAGUACUUAAUAGAGAUACUGAUAUUUUUAAGGACUGAUUCAUAAAAGUAGUUUUCAUUCAUAUUGAGUUUGUGCCUGUCAUUUUUAGACCACUAGAUGAAGAGAUUACAGACUCAGUAAUUAAGCCAGAAAAUAUAAAUUCAGGUCAACAAAGGCCUAACUUCCCUGUGUGAGGCAUGUGAUGAGCCUGUGAAUAAUCCUGACAUGUUGUUAUUCUGCCUUGAGGUGCCACUAUAGUGCUAGUGGAAGUGAGGACAGCAACUUCAUCUUCAGUAGCAGAAAGGAAAACAGCAAUUUGGAUUGUGUGAGCCAUUUCCCUCUUUAUUUAUAGAAUUAUUCUGUAAAAGACAUCAAAAUGUUGCUCGUUCGCUGUUAUGAUUAUGUUCUCAGAGGAAUUAGGAAUGAAUGAUAUAGCAUGUAAAUUAUGGAUAAUGAAGUACAUAUGCGUAGACACUAUUUGAAGUGCCCAAGGUUAAUUUCUAUGCAAAAUAAUGUUACAUUUACUUGAAAAUUGAUUGGCUAAAUGCAAAUUAAUGAAGAAAACCCCUUUAAUUAUGACAUAUUUAUAAAUUAAUCAAUGUACUCAUUCAAAGAAUACUAGAUACCCUAUCUGAAAUAUCCUCAAGAUACAUGUGAGCAAUGAGAGUAUCAUUGAAAUGUAAAGCAAAUUAUUUACACUAAUCAUAUGAACCAUCUUGUUUUGUAGUUACCCAGAUGUUUGGAAUGAAAAAAGAUAAAUCAAAAAAUCAACGAAAGAGGAAAGAUCUUAUGACUGACGCAAGGGAUUGGAUUCAGAAAAUCGGAUUUCAGUUUCUGAUUCUGUCACAAGCUUCCUGUGUGACCUUAGGCUAACAGAGAUUUUUAAAAUCAAAGUAAUAGUCCUCUGUUUUUAUGGAGGUUUUUAUGGAUGUCCACCCA
RNAcentral lists this long non-coding RNA (1100 nucleotides) under Anas platyrhynchos platyrhynchos (common mallard). Its description in RNAcentral is "lncRNA (ENSAPLG00000030145.1)". Lineage: Eukaryota; Metazoa; Chordata; Aves; Anseriformes; Anatidae. The record is from RNAcentral.